UGGGGAAUUUUGGACAAUGGGCGAAAGCCCGAUCCAGCCAUGCCGCGUGAGUGAAGAAGGCUUUCGGGUUGUAAAGCUCUUUUAGUCGGAAAGAAAGAGUUGCAAUGAAUAAUUGUGAUUUAUGACGGUACCGACAGAAAAAGCACCGGCUAACUACGUGCCAGCAGCCGCGGUAAUACGUAGGGUGCGAGCGUUAAUCGGAAUUACUGGGCGUAAAGGGUGUGCAGGCGGUUUUGCAAGUCCGAUUUGAAAGCCCCGGGCUUAACCUGGGAAUUGCGUUUGAAACUGCAAGACUAGAGUGCAGCAGAGGGGAGUGGAAUUCCAUGUGUAGCAGUGAAAUGCGUAGAGAUAUGGAAGAACACCGAUGGCGAAGGCAGCUCCCUGGAUUGACACUGACGCUCAUGCACGAAAGCGUGGGGAGCAAACA
Molecule: ribosomal RNA, 427 nt
Filed under: uncultured beta proteobacterium
Lineage: Bacteria; Pseudomonadati; Pseudomonadota; Betaproteobacteria
Description: bacterial SSU rRNA
Rfam family: Bacterial small subunit ribosomal RNA
Source: RNAcentral